GACGAACGCUGGCGGCGUGCUUAACACAUGCAAGUCGAACGAAGAGCGAUGGAAGCUUGCUUCUAUCACUCUUAGUGGCGAACGUGUGAGUAACGCGUAAUCAACCUGCCCUUCAGAGGGGGACAACAGUUGGAAACGACUGCUAAUACCGCAUACGAUCUAAUCUCGGCAUCGAGGAUAGAUGAAAGGUGGCCUCUACAUGUAAUCUAUCACUGAAGGAGGGGAUUGCGUCUGAUUAGCUAGUUGGAUGGGUAACGGCCCACCAAGGCGAUGAUCAGUAGCCGGUCUGAGAGGAUGAACGGCCACAUUGGGACUGAGACACGGCCCAGACUCCUACGGGAGGCAGCAGUGGGGAAUCUUCCGCAAUGGACGAAAGUCUGACGGAGCAACGCCGCGUGAGCGAUGACGGCCUUCGGGUUGUAAAGCUCUGUUAAUCGGGACGAAAGGCCUUCUUGCGAAUAGUGAGAAGGAUUGACGGUACCGGAAUAGAAAGCCACGGCUAACUACGUG
Molecule: ribosomal RNA, 510 nt
Filed under: uncultured bacterium
Lineage: Bacteria
Description: partial 16S ribosomal RNA
Rfam family: Bacterial small subunit ribosomal RNA
Source: RNAcentral